Camelina sativa (false flax) is the source of this 1161-nucleotide non-coding RNA. Lineage: Eukaryota; Viridiplantae; Streptophyta; Magnoliopsida; Brassicales; Brassicaceae. The record is from RefSeq and is a predicted model, not a curated record.
UCUUCUUUCGACUCUUUCUCUCUUUCCUCUCUUGAUGUUAACAGAGAUGGAUUCGACGAUUCACCUAAAGUCCGGAAAAAUCGUCGGCGGAUGUUGCUUCUGAUGGCCUAAAUUGGACACAUAAGGGAUUGCUGCUGGUGUUUGUAUAAUGAGCAAGGCAUGGAAAGAUGAACAAGAACCUUCGUUGAUCUGUUUUGUAUUUUCGUUUUUCGCUCUAACUCUUUCGGGCUUAACCUUGUCUCGAUUUCCCAUGAUGAUGAAGAAGCUCAUAUAACUCUUUCGUGAUCUUUCUAGAUUCACAUUGGUAGCUUCCCACCUGAAGAAGGCUGAAUCGUGCGGAAAGAUGGUGAUCAUUAUUAAGUCAUGCCUCAUUGUCUUCAGAUUAAGUUCAUGGUUCAACCGCUAUGAACUGUUUGUCUUUGAAAUCUUCCGAUGCUUAUCAGGCAGUUGAGCUUGACCCGGUAAUGGUUAGUGUUGGCAAGGAUUACUUUGGUUUCAUACAAACUGAUCGCUUGAAGGUGCAUAUUGCUGAUGGGAUUAAAUUCGUUAGAGAUAUAACAAACUCUGAAACUCCUUGUGAGGAAACAUCAAACGUCAAAGGCAGAACUUGUCCUGAAUUCUGAUUAUAGAUGUGGAUUAAACAGAUUCAAGUGGCGGUUUAACCUGUCCUACAUCUUAGUUUAUCGAAGAGACAUUUCUUCUUUUGGUUAAGCGUGCUCUCCGUCAGCCCAGUCUUUUCGUAGUGAACUUGAAGGUUUUGGUUUUGUUCUUGUAGGUUUUGGUUUUGAAAACUGCAGUUUCUGUUUUGAACACUUUCAGGGUUUGGUUUUUAAAACUGGAGCUUCUGUUUCUACUUAUAAAUUGGACACUUUCAGCUGGUGCUAGUGACAAUGACUCGGUUGACAAAAUGGAGGAUCUUGUAUGUGAAGCUCCUGUUAUGCCUUCUCAAGAAAACUCAGGUCUGUUCUUGAUGAACAUAUGUCUGCUCUUGGAAACUGCAUUGCCUGUAAUGAUCAUGUUGCUCUUGCUCACAUUGAUCAAUACCUAUGUUUAAAUUUUGUUUUUGUUUGGAUGAGAUACACAAAACAACAUUCUCAAGUGCUUAUGUGAAAAGACCCGACCCGUUUUUUUAAUAAAUAAUAAAUAAUAGUUACUCUACAA